UAAUAAUCACCUUAAGAACUAUUGCAUGUUUAUAUUAAAACCUUACUUUUUGUAGCUGCGAGCAAACGAAGAUAACCAAGUACUGAAAAGGAUACUAGAAAUAAAUGAAAAAUUAAUUUAAAAUUAUAAGGUUAACCCUCAUGCCUUUUGCAUAAUGAUUUAAUUAGAAAUUACCUAAUAGAUAGUUAACAUUAGCUACCCCGAAAUUAAAUGAUCUACUCUGGGCCCAGUACAAACUGACUCAACUAGUUUAUGUUGCAAUAUGAUUAGGAGAGCCCAGAGUAGAAGUGAUAUGCUAACCGCAUUUAAUUCUAGCUGGUUACUUAAGAAAUGAAUAUAAGUUCAAGUGUAGCACCUUGCGCCACUCAAACGAAUCGGAACAUGCUGAUUCGUUUACUUACCAACAAAUAUCACCUAGAAAUAAACUCCGAGUAACUUUACUGUAGACUUAAAAGCAGCCAUCAACUAACGAUAGCGUUAAAGCUUAAAUUUCAUUAAAAGAAAGACUUUUAGUUUGGUAUUAAGUAAUCCUUAAUUGGGACAUCAUCUGUUAAAAUGCGUAGAUUCAACUGUAUCCCAAUAUUAGUGUGUCAAAUAUUACACCUACAAUUUAUGUUCAAGAACUAAAUAAACGUCUGACUAACAAAAGCAUAUGUUGGGGAUUAUUAUACUAGAGAAAGGAACUCGGCAAAUAAUAAGCUCGCCUGUUUACCAAAAACAUCGCUUUUAGAUAACUAUUAAAAGUCUUAUCUGCCCGGUGUACUAUUAACGGCCGCGGUAUCUUGACUGUGCUAAGGUAGCAUAAUCACUUGCCCUUUAAAUGGGGGAAUGUAUGAAUGAUUAGACGAAGUUUAAGCUGUCUUUCCCUUGAUAAUCGAGAUUUCAUUGCUUGUGAAAAUGCGAGCAGACACUUAAAGGACGAGAAGACCCUGUUGAGUUUCUGAGCGUAACAAAAGUACAUAUUAACUAAGUAACACUACAUAAAACAUAGUGCCUAAAGAGAGCUCUUUGGCUGGGGUGGCACGCAAAGAAAUUAAGCUUUCCGUAAAUAUCUUGGAGUUAAAGACUUCUUAGGUCAAUAACUCUUCUACCGACCCGCUACUAGCGAUUCAAAGACCAAAUUACCACAGGGAUAACAGCGUAAUUCUUUUUGAGAGCUCAAAUUGACAAAAGAGUUUGCGACCUCGAUGUUGGAUCAAGACUCCUGGUGGUGCAACCGUUACCGCAGGUUUGCCUGUUCGGCGAUUAAAAUCUUACGUGAUCUGAGUUCAGACCGUCGUAAGACAGGUUAGAUUCUAUCCUUAAUUUAAUGCAUUCAGUACGAAAGGACCAAAAGCAUUUGAUUUUAAUUUUAUACUAAAUCAUC
RNAcentral lists this ribosomal RNA (1366 nucleotides) under Asymmetron lucayanum. RNAcentral's name for it is "16S large subunit ribosomal RNA". It matches the Rfam family "Bacterial large subunit ribosomal RNA", at positions 425 to 2733 of the family's 2925-position model. Lineage: Eukaryota; Metazoa; Chordata; Leptocardii; Amphioxiformes; Branchiostomatidae. The record is from RNAcentral.